GUGCUUGGUUUGGCAGCACAUAUACUAAAAUUGGAAAGAUACAGAGAAGAUUAGCAUGGACCCUGUGCAAGGAUGACAUACAAAUGUGUGAAGUGUUCCAUAUUUAA
Molecule: small nuclear RNA, 107 nt
Organism: Octodon degus (degu)
Lineage: Eukaryota; Metazoa; Chordata; Mammalia; Rodentia; Octodontidae
Source: Ensembl